Molecule: long non-coding RNA, 1011 nt
Organism: Micropterus dolomieu (smallmouth bass)
Lineage: Eukaryota; Metazoa; Chordata; Actinopteri; Centrarchiformes; Centrarchidae
Exons: 3
Source: RefSeq, a predicted model, not a curated record
CAGAGUGUAACAGCAAGGAAACCAAAAAGACUACAAACACAAGCAGACGCAGAUCCAAAAACAAAGGCAGAGGUGCCUGAUGGCUAAAAGCUCUGGCUCCCAUUCUACAUCUAGAGACCCUCGGCACUACAAGUAGCCCUGCAUGUUGGGAGCGCCGUGUUCUAGUGGGGCAGUAUGGUGAAAGCAGUUCUUUCAAAGAAGAUGGUGCCUGACCAUUAAGGGCUUUGUAUGUAAGAAGAAGAAAGAGAUCGGGUCACCUCAGCAGCCAUCGGACCGAGUUAUGAUCCCCCUCCUCUGCCUGUUUGUCUGCACUGUGUUGGCCUGUCAGAGGUCCACUGCUCUCCUGGAAUGAGUGUGUGCUGCAGAGUCAUCUCACAAGGAGUUUGUUUACGUGCACCACAGCAUCAAUGCAUUGAGGAUGAAACCUCAUCUGACAUGCGGAACGCUAUAAUCUUGUGUUCCAGCGUUCAGAGAUGAACAUGUGCCAGAAAACAUCCGUCCUGCUGUCGUCGUCGCAGAUUGUUCAGCUCUGCAUGUCUAAAGAAUGCGUCGAACCGCAGCCUGCCGAGCCUUUUGAUCGUCGAGGCGUUCAGCCAGGAGACGUGGCGCUAAAUGAAAACAUGGCUAAGCUACAAGCUCUCGUCACUGUUCAUCACGAGGGAAGAAAUCUCAGACACCCACGAACAGCAAUUACAGAGAGCUUUGCGCUUUAACAAGCGGAGAAAUAUGAGGAGUGCUCAGUAACCAAGACAAACACUUUCCAAGAAAAACUCCCAGUGACGGACUAAUUUGUAGAAGCGAAGCUGGAGCACUCUUCAUAAUGUGUUGUUGUGUUUGUUCUCUGCUGUUGCUUUUCAGCGUGAUCUCUUCACUUUGCUGCAGAUUAGUCACCAUUGGAAGUCCUUCAUGGCUGGUCGAUGCUUCAACAGACUGAAAAAUGUCCUUUUGCAGAAUCAGCUGUGCAGUUUUAAUUUAUUAGUUUCAACAACAUAUUGAUUUUAAAGAGUUUUG